UGAUGUCAGCGGUGGACCAAUGGAAGUACAGGGGCGGGGCUGGAGGACCUGGCGAGGCGGUUGGCCCUCCGACCAAUCAGUGAAUGAGAGGCGGGACUUGAUUAUACCACGUGAUCAUCCUCGCGGACAGCGCGGCUGUGCGGGCGGAGAGCUAUCGAUCCCAGUGAUUAAUGCCAAAGCCCUGUUGCCUGGGGAGAGGGUGAUGUUUGACUUUCUUGUACAGCUGCAGUUUGUGUGGUGAAGGUGUUCCCACAAUGUGGUUGGGAUGAGGCUGUCACUGGCUCGGCCAGCAUUUAUUGCUGCGUUUACCCAGUGGGCAGUUAAGAAUCAACGACGUUGCUAUAGGUCUGGAGUCCCAUGCAGACCAGACCAGAUCCCAGUGAUCAGUGCCAAAGCCCCAUUGCCUGUGUAGAGGGUGAUGUUUGAUUUCCCUGUCCAGCUGCAGUUCAUGUGGUGAAGGUGCUCCCACAAUGUGGUUGGGUCACCGUUCAGCCUCUGAUGCUCCAAGGAAAGCAGCCUAUCCAAACCUGGCAACAUCCUAUAAUUAUUUUCUGACCCCUUUCAAGUUUGAGAACAUCCAUCUGAUCGGAAGGAGACCAGAAUUGCAUGGAAUAUUACAAAAGUUGCCGAAUCAAUGUCCUGUACAGCCUCAGUAUGACCUCUCAAUGCUGUGACCAAUAAAGGCAAGCAGACAAACUGCCGCCCUUCACUAUUCUAUCUACUUGCUACUCUACUUUCAAGGAACUAUGAACCUGCACUCCAAGGACUCUUUGUUUAGCAGCACUCCCUAGGAACUUACUAUUAACUGUAUAAGUCCUGCUAAAGUAUGUUUCGUGAUGUUUAACUUCUCAAAUUGGACUGGAGUUUAAUAUUCUGGAGAAAUGUCAAAUAAAUCGCAUUUAUCCCA
This is a long non-coding RNA of Hemiscyllium ocellatum (epaulette shark), 907 nucleotides long. RefSeq lists it as uncharacterized. The record is from RefSeq and is a predicted model, not a curated record. The transcript is spliced from 5 exons. Lineage: Eukaryota; Metazoa; Chordata; Chondrichthyes; Orectolobiformes; Hemiscylliidae.